Molecule: ribosomal RNA, 443 nt
Filed under: uncultured bacterium
Lineage: Bacteria
Description: bacterial SSU rRNA
Rfam family: Bacterial small subunit ribosomal RNA
Source: RNAcentral
CCUACGGGAUGCACCAGUGGGGAAUCUUGCGCAAUGGGCGAAAGCCUGACGCAGCAACGCCGCGUGAGCGAAGAAGGCCCUUGGGUCGUAAAGCUCUGUAGGGAGGGAAGAACACCAUGACGGUACCUCCAAAGUAAGCACCGGCUAACUCCGUGCCAGCAGCCGCGGUAAUACGGAGGGUGCAAACGUUGUUCGGAAUUAUUGGGCGUAAAGCGCACGCAGGCGGCCUAUAGGGUCGGGUGUGAAAGCCCGGAGCUUAACUCCGGAAUUGCACUCGAAACCGGCAGGCUUGAAUCUAGCAGAGGAAGGUAGAAUUCCUGGUGUAGGGGUGAAAUCCGUAGAUAUCAGGGGGAAUACCAAUGGCGAAGGCAGCCUUCUGGGCUUAGAUUGACGCUGAGGUGCGAAAGCGUGGGUAGCAAACAGGAUUAGAUACCCGAGUAGUC